AGCCAGCAUCGAAAAUCUGUUUGUUUUGAGCAAAAAAUGGGAUCUGUUUCUUUGAAAAUAGGUGAUGGAACUGCUAGAUUCAAGAAAGCUACAUAUUGUUCUUCAGUUCUAAAUCUACUUAUGCUUUUCUCUGUUGUUACAACUAAUCUUUUUGCUUUAUAUGCUUUUACAUCCUCACCCAAAAACCCCCAUCAUCAUCUUCUUCUCCCACAUACUCACAAGAACAUAUCUUUAAUCUCAGAACAAGUUUCUUUAAUUCUAAGACAGAUUGAUUCUUCACAAAAAAAACUUGCCCAAAUGGAAAAAGAGCUUUUAGGCUAUGAAAGUUUUGAUCUUUCUAGUCCCAAAGUUCCAAAUGAAGUGAGAAAUUUCUUGCAACCCCAUUUGCUGCCUUUGGGUAAAGAUUCAAGAACUGGGAUU
RNAcentral lists this unclassified non-coding RNA (420 nucleotides) under Hevea brasiliensis (rubber tree). Lineage: Eukaryota; Viridiplantae; Streptophyta; Magnoliopsida; Malpighiales; Euphorbiaceae. The record is from RNAcentral.